UACAUGGAUAAUCCGCCUUUAGGACCGGGACAACCCAGGGAAACUUGAGCUAAUACCGGAUAAGACCACAGAAUCUCCGGAUUCAGUGGUAAAAGGUGGCCUUCGGGCUAUCACCUAUAGAUGAGUCCAUGUCCCAUCAGGUAGUUGGUGAGGUAAUGGCCCACCAAGCCGAAGACGGGUAGCCGACCUUAGCGGGUGAUCGGCCACACGGGGACUGAGACACGGCCCCGACUCCUACGGGAGGCAGCAGUGGGGAAUAUUGGACAAUGGGCGCAAGCCUGAUCCAGCAAUACCGCGUGA
Molecule: ribosomal RNA, 300 nt
Filed under: uncultured bacterium
Lineage: Bacteria
Description: bacterial SSU rRNA
Rfam family: Bacterial small subunit ribosomal RNA
Source: RNAcentral